RNAcentral lists this long non-coding RNA (320 nucleotides) under Bos taurus (domestic cattle). RNAcentral's name for it is "long non-coding RNA NONBTAT017377". Lineage: Eukaryota; Metazoa; Chordata; Mammalia; Artiodactyla; Bovidae. The record is from RNAcentral.
CUCAGAUUUAACAUUUGCUACAGAAUUAGAUUUCCUUUAGGUCAACCAGAGCAGAUAAAAAUUUGCUUUCAGUAAAUCUUCCUCAGAUCUAUUGUAACUUCAUCAGAGUAGUGAAACAUGAUACUGGAAGGGGUGUCCUGCUUAAAGAGCUAUCUCACUUUCAUUUUUACAUUUUCAUAGGUUUUAAGUGUUUUCUCUGUUCAGUGUAGCUCAUUUUGUUCAUUUAAUUCUCUUUUCAAAUAUCAGAUGACCUAGCAGUCCAUCUUAUUGGUCAGAGUUUAAGCCCGUUUUUCAUGUCUCAUUUCAGUGCUUCUUUAUUC